UCGAUCAAAAUAGCCAAUCAAAUAUAGUAAAAUUGGAAGGAUACAGAGAAGAUUAGCAUGGCUUCUGCGCAAGGAUGACAUGCAAAUUCACGAAGCAUUCCAUAUUAAA
Molecule: small nuclear RNA, 109 nt
Organism: Nycticebus coucang (slow loris)
Lineage: Eukaryota; Metazoa; Chordata; Mammalia; Primates; Lorisidae
Source: RefSeq, a predicted model, not a curated record